This 208-nucleotide long non-coding RNA is filed under the name Nicotiana benthamiana. RNAcentral describes it as "long non-coding RNA (NBEN_LNC000279)". Lineage: Eukaryota; Viridiplantae; Streptophyta; Magnoliopsida; Solanales; Solanaceae. The record is from RNAcentral.
AUAAACCUUCUUCUGCUCAUUCUUCUCCUUCAUCUUUUCCUUUUAUUCCUCCUGCUGAGCAUACCACUGACACAAAUUUUUCUAUACAUGCUUCAUCUCCUCCUUCCCCUACAUUUGAUCCAGCCCCUAAUUCUACUGUUCCUGCUUUUACUGAUACUGAUCCAGCUCCCCUUCCUUCUUUCAAUCAUGAUAUCUCUCCUCCUGUUUU